GACGAACGCUGGCGGCGUGCUUAACACAUGCAAGUCGAGCGGUAAGGCCCCUUUGGGGGUACACGAGCGGCGAACGGGUGAGUAACACGUGGGUGACCUGCCCUCAGCUCUGGGAUAAGCCUGGGAAACUGGGUCUAAUACCGGAUAUGACUCCAUGACGCAUGUUGUGGGGUGGAAAGCCUUGUGCGGCUGGGGAUGGGCCCGCGGCCUAUCAGCUUGUUGGUGGGGUGAUGGCCUACCAAGGCGACGACGGGUAGCCGGCCUGAGAGGGCGACCGGCCACACUGGGACUGAGACACGGCCCCAGACUCCUACGGGAGGCAGCAGUGGGGAAUCUUGCGCAAUGGGCGAAAGCCUGACGCAGCGACGCCGCGUGGGUGAGGAAGUCCUCGGA
This 393-nucleotide ribosomal RNA is filed under the name uncultured bacterium. RNAcentral's name for it is "bacterial SSU rRNA". It matches the Rfam family "Bacterial small subunit ribosomal RNA", at positions 28 to 423 of the family's 1533-position model. The record is from RNAcentral.